GAACGCUGGCGGCAUGCCUUACACAUGCAAGUCGAACGGCAGCACGGGAGCAAUCCUGGUGGCGAGUGGCGAACGGGUGAGUAAUAUAUCGGAACGUGCCCAGUCGUGGGGAUAACGUAGCGAAAGCUACGCUAAUACCGCAUACGAUCUAUGGAUGAAAGCGGGGGAUCGCAAGACCUCGCGCGAUUGGAGCGGCCGAUAUCAGAUUAGGUAGUUGGUGAGGUAAAGGCUCACCAAGCCGACGAUCUGUAGCUGGUCUGAGAGGACGACCAGCCACACUGGGACUGAGACACGGCCCAGACUCCUACGGGAGGCAGCAGUGGGAAUUUUGGACAAUGGGCGCAAGCCUGAUCCAGCAAUGCCGCGUGCAGGAUGAAGGCCUUCGGGUUGUAAACUGCUUUGUACGGAACGAAACGGUGAGCUCUAAUACAGUUUGCUAAUGACGGUACCGUAAGAAUAAGCACCGGCUAACUACGUG
Molecule: ribosomal RNA, 478 nt
Filed under: uncultured bacterium
Lineage: Bacteria
Description: bacterial SSU rRNA
Rfam family: Bacterial small subunit ribosomal RNA
Source: RNAcentral